GAUGAACGCUAGCUACAGGCUUAACGCAUGCAAGUCGAGGGGAAACGGCAUUGAGUGCUUGCACUCUUUGGACGUCGACCGGCGCACGGGUGAGUAACGCGUAUCCAACCUUCCCAUUACUGUGGGAUAACCUGCCGAAAGGCAGACUAAUACCGCAUAGUCUUCGAUGACGGCAUCAGAUUUGAAGUAAAGAUUUAUCGGUAAUGGAUGGGGAUGCGUCUGAUUAGCUUGUUGGCGGGGUAACGGCCCACCAAGGCGACGAUCAGUAGGGGUUCUGAGAGGAAGGUCCCCCACAUUGGAACUGAGACACGGUCCAAACUCCUACGGGAGGCAGCAGUGAGGAAUAUUGGUCAAUGGACGGAAGUCUGAACCAGCCAAGUAGCGUGCAGGAUGACGGCCCUAUGGGUUGUAAACUGCUUUUGUAUGGGGAUAAAGUUAGGGACGUGUCCCUAUUUGCAGGUACCAUACGAAUAAGGACCGGCUAAUUCCGUG
Molecule: ribosomal RNA, 492 nt
Filed under: uncultured bacterium
Lineage: Bacteria
Description: partial 16S ribosomal RNA
Rfam family: Bacterial small subunit ribosomal RNA
Source: RNAcentral